Molecule: long non-coding RNA, 465 nt
Filed under: Fragaria vesca (wild strawberry)
Lineage: Eukaryota; Viridiplantae; Streptophyta; Magnoliopsida; Rosales; Rosaceae
Description: long non-coding RNA (FVES_LNC005006)
Source: RNAcentral
CCUUUCGUUGAAAUCCUGGAGUGGUCUUCAGGACCCCCUGGCCCUUCUUUCCUAGACCCCGGCAGUAGAAGUUGUUUUCUCGCGGUGGGAAGGCUGUGCCCAUGAUCCUCGCCCCAACCCUCGGAUCUGAAGUGUCGAUCCGGGAAAUGGCUUCGGACAUCUCUUCCUCCUGCGUGUCCGGCCAUGUCUCCCUCACUAUAGCACUCAUCACCUCGUCACUAGCCUCCCUCACCUUGGCCUAAUUAGAUAGGAAAAAAAUUAUUAAUUAACAUUUUGACAUAUAUAUAUAAGUAAAAUUAAAAUUACCGUAAAAAGGAAAUAGUACUUACUAUAUCCUCCUGGGAGUCAGGAUAUGUCCUCUCGUACGUAUAGACGUACUGGUUGACCUCUGGAUGUUCCCUGGCCGCCUCGUCCAUGAAGACAGCGAACGGUCUAGAACCGGCAUGAUGGUUCCUUGUGUUGCGU